This 1528-nucleotide ribosomal RNA is filed under the name Enterococcus faecium. Its description in RNAcentral is "partial 23S ribosomal RNA". It matches the Rfam family "Bacterial large subunit ribosomal RNA", at positions 1 to 1531 of the family's 2925-position model. Lineage: Bacteria; Bacillati; Bacillota; Bacilli; Lactobacillales; Enterococcaceae. The record is from RNAcentral.
GGUUAAGUGAAUAAGGGCGCACGGUGGAUGCCUUGGCACUAGGAGCCGAUGAAGGACGGGACUAACACCGAUAUGCUUUGGGGAGCUGUACGUAAGCUAUGAUCCAGAGAUUUCCGAAUGGGGGAACCCAACAUCUUUAAUAGGAUGUUACGAUUGUGUGAAUACAUAGCACAUUCGAGGUAGACGCAGAGAACUGAAACAUCUAAGUACCUGCAGGAAGAGAAAGAAAAUUCGAUUCCCUGAGUAGCGGCGAGCGAAACGGGAAAAGCCCAAACCAGCAAGCUUGCUUGUUGGGGUUGUAGGACUCCAAUAUGGUAGUUCUUUCAGAUAGUCGAAUGACUUGGAAAAGUCAGUCAAAGAGGGUAAAAACCCCGUAGACGAAAUGUGGAAGACACCUAGGAGGAUCCUGAGUACGGCGGAACACGAGAAAUUCCGUCGGAAUCCGGGAGGACCAUCUCCCAAGGCUAAAUACUCCCUAGUGACCGAUAGUGAACCAGUACCGUGAGGGAAAGGUGAAAAGCACCCCGGAAGGGGAGUGAAAUAGAACCUGAAACCGUGUGCCUACAACAAGUCAAAGCCCGUUAAUGGGUGAUGGCGUGCCUUUUGUAGAAUGAACCGGCGAGUUACGAUUGCAUGCGAGGUUAAGUUGAAGAGACGGAGCCGCAGCGAAAGCGAGUCUGAAUAGGGCGUUUGAGUAUGUAGUCGUAGACCCGAAACCAUGUGAUCUACCCAUGUCCAGGUUGAAGGUGCGGUAAAACGCACUGGAGGACCGAACCCACGUACGUUGAAAAGUGCGGGGAUGAGGUGUGGGUAGCGGAGAAAUUCCAAACGAACUUGGAGAUAGCUGGUUCUCUCCGAAAUAGCUUUAGGGCUAGCCUCGGAAUUGAGAAUGAUGGAGGUAGAGCACUGUUUGGACUAGGGGCCCAUCUCGGGUUACCGAAUUCAGAUAAACUCCGAAUGCCAUUCAUUCAUAUCCGGGAGUCAGACUGUGAGUGAUAAGAUCCAUAGUCGAAAGGGAAACAGCCCAGACCACCAGCUAAGGUCCCAAAAUAUAUGUUAAGUGGAAAAGGAUGUGGGGUUGCACAGACAACUAGGAUGUUGGCUUAGAAGCAGCCACCAUUUAAAGAGUGCGUAAUAGCUCACUAGUCGAGUGACCCUGCGCCGAAAAUGUACCGGGGCUAAACAUAUUACCGAAGCUGUGGAGUACACCUUUAGGUGUAUUGGUAGGAGAGCGUUCUAAGGGCGUUGAAGGCAGAUCGUGAGGACUGCUGGAGCGCUUAGAAGUGAGAAUGCCGGUAUGAGUAGCGAAAGACAGGUGAGAAUCCUGUCCACCGAAUGACUAAGGUUUCCUGGGGAAGGCUCGUCCGCCCAGGGUUAGUCGGGACCUAAGCCGAGGCCGACAGGCGUAGGCGAUGGAUAACAGGUUGAUAUUCCUGUACCCGUUGUUUUUGUUUGAGCAAUGGAGGGACGCAGGAGGCUAAGGAAUGCAGACGAUCGGAAAUGUCUGUCCAAGCAGUAAGUCUGAAGA